CCUACGGGAGGCAGCAGUGGGGGAUAUUGCACAAUGGGGGGAACCCUGAUGCAGCGACGCCGCGUGGGUGAAGGAGUGCUUCGGCAUGUAAAGCCCUAUCGGCAGGGAAGAAGCAAGACGGUACCUGACUAAGAAGCCCCGGCUAACUACGUGCCAGCAGCAGCGGUAAUACGGAGGGGGCGAGCGUUACCCGGAUUCACUGGGUGAAAAGGGAGCGUAGACGGCCAAGCAAGCCAGGGGUGAAAGCCCGGGGCCCAACCCCGGAACUGCCCUUGGAACUGCAUGGCUGGAGUGGGGGAGGGGCAGGCGGAAUUCCUGGUGUAGCGGUGAAAUGCGUAGAUAUCAGGAGGAACACCGGCGGCGAAGGUGGCCUGCUGGACCGCGACUGACGUUGAGGCUCGAAAGCGUGGGGAGCGAACAGGAUUAGAUACCCGUGUAGUC
RNAcentral lists this ribosomal RNA (441 nucleotides) under uncultured bacterium. RNAcentral describes it as "partial 16S ribosomal RNA". It matches the Rfam family "Bacterial small subunit ribosomal RNA", at positions 338 to 795 of the family's 1533-position model. The record is from RNAcentral.